AUUGAACGCUGGCGGCAUGCCUUACACAUGCAAGUCGAACGGCAGCAUGAUCUGGCUUGCUAGAUUGAUGGCGAGUGGCGAACGGGUGUGUAAUACAUCGGAACGUGCUCUGUAGCGGGGGAUAACUAGUCGAAAGAUUAGCUAAUACCGCAUACGACCUGAGGGUGAAAGUGGGGGACCGCAAGGCCUCAUGCUAUAGGAUCGGCCGAUGUCGGAUUAGCUAGUUGGUGAGGUAAAGGCUCACCAAGGCGACGAUCAGUAGCUGGUCUGAGAGGACGAUCGGCCACACUGGAACUGAGACACGGCCCAGACUCCUACGGGAGGCAGCAGUGGGGAAUUUUGGACAAUGGGCGAAAGCCUGAUCCAGCAAUGCCGCGUGUGUGAAGAAGGCCUUCGGGUUGUAAAGCACUUUUGUCCGGAAAGAAAUGGCUCUGGUUAAUACCUGGGGUCGAUGACGGUACCGGAAGAAUAAGGACCGGCUAACUACGUG
RNAcentral lists this ribosomal RNA (490 nucleotides) under uncultured bacterium. RNAcentral's name for it is "partial 16S ribosomal RNA". It matches the Rfam family "Bacterial small subunit ribosomal RNA", at positions 30 to 507 of the family's 1533-position model. The record is from RNAcentral.